This 253-nucleotide ribosomal RNA is filed under the name uncultured bacterium. RNAcentral describes it as "partial 16S ribosomal RNA". It matches the Rfam family "Bacterial small subunit ribosomal RNA", at positions 524 to 776 of the family's 1533-position model. The record is from RNAcentral.
GACGUAGGGCGCGAGCGUUGUCCGGAUUUAUUGGGCGUAAAGAGCGUGUAGGCGGCCUAGCAGGUCUGCUGUGAAAACUGGAGGCUUAACCUCGAGACGCCGAUGGAAACCGUCUGACUAGAGUCCGGAAGAGGAGAGUGGAAUUCCUGGUGUAGCGGUGAAAUGCGUAGAUAUCUGGAGGAACACCGGUGGCGAAGGCGGCACCCUGGGCCGGCACUGACGCUGAGGCGCGAAAGCCUGGGGAGCGAACAGG